AUACCACCCAGAACGCACCCGAUCUCGUCUGAUCUCAGAAGCUAAGCAGGGUCGGGCCCGGUUACUACUUGGAUGGGAGACCGCCUGGGAAUACCGGGUG
This 100-nucleotide ribosomal RNA is filed under the name Prolemur simus (greater bamboo lemur). The record is from RNAcentral. Lineage: Eukaryota; Metazoa; Chordata; Mammalia; Primates; Lemuridae.